UGCCUAGAGAGUUCUCUCAUGCCAUUUUAAUCGCCGUCUACAUUCCUCCAUCCGCUAAUGCUGCAGGCGCAUGCGAUCUCAUAUAUUCAGUCAUGGCCAAACUUCAGACUCGCCACCCCGACGCCUUGUAUCUCAUCUCCGGUGACUUCAAUCAAGCGUCCCUCACGAAAACACUUCCUACCUUCACUCAGUAUGUGGAUUGUUACACCAGAGGUGUCAGGACCCUAGACUUGAUGUAUUCAAAUGUUAAAGGGGCCUACAGCUCUUCAGCCCUCCCUCCACUAGGCAGGUCAGAUCACAACCUGAUCCAUCUCCUUCCAAUAUACAAACCCCUGGUUCAGAGGCAACCUGCUACUGUCAGGAAGGUGAGGAAAUGGUCUGAUGAAGCCAAUGCUGCCCUGCAGGAGUGCUUUGAGUCUACUAACUGGGAGGUGCUCUGUGAGCCACAGAGUAAGAACAUUGACCAACUGACUGACUGCAUCACAGAAUAUAUUAAUUUCUGUGUUGAUAUCUGCAUGCCCCUGAAAACUAUUCAUUGCUUCCCUAACAAUAAACCCUGGGUCACCAAGGACAUUAAAGGUGCUCUCAAUGAUAAAAAAAGGGCUUUUAGGACAGGUGAUAAGGAGGAAGCUAAGAAGGCUCAAAGACUACUGUCUGUCAAGAUAAGGGAGGGAAAGGAAAAGUACAGGAGGAAAUUGGAGAAUAGCCUACAACAAAAUAACUUGAGGGAGGUGUGGAGAGGCAUGAGAUCCAUCACUGGCUACAAGACUGGCAGCCAGCUGUUGGAGGGCAAUAUAGAUCAUGCUAAUGAGCUUAAUCUUUUCUUCAAUCGAUUUGAUGUGGAGUCUCAAAUGAUCCCCUCCUAUAACUUCUCUACACAUUCAUUAGUCCAUCCCCCCCAUGUAGUGACUAUUACGCCAGAUUCCUCUGGAAACAUCACCAUCUCAGAGGAUCAAGUAAGAAGGGAAUUGAGCAGGCUUAGCUCCACAAAGGCUGUGGGCCCUGAUGGAAUCAGUCCUAGAAUACUGAAAGCCUGUGCCCCGCAACUUUGUGGUGUGCUACAAUACAUCUUUAAUUUAAG
RNAcentral lists this long non-coding RNA (1081 nucleotides) under Sinocyclocheilus grahami. RNAcentral's name for it is "lncRNA (ENSSGRG00000024443.1)". The record is from RNAcentral. Lineage: Eukaryota; Metazoa; Chordata; Actinopteri; Cypriniformes; Cyprinidae.